AAGGUUAAAGGUCAGGCAGGGGUCACCCAGACAGGAGUCUCCAGGUGUGGCCCCGCCCCCAUCCAGGUGUGUCCCAGGUGUGUCCCCAAUGCCCCAGGUGUGUUUGGGUGUGUCCCAGGUGUGUCACACUCACCUUGCAGGUGUCCCCGCCCCCACCCAGGUGUGUCCCCAAUGUCCCCAGGUGUCACCCAGGUGUGUUCAGGUGUGUCCCCGAUGUCCCCAGGUGUGCACAGGUGUCACCAGGUGUGUCCCAGGUGUGUCCCAGCUGCACCCAGGUGUGCACAGGUGUGUCCCCAAUGUCACCAGGUGUGCCCAAGUGUAACUCAGGUGUACCCAGGUGUGUCCCCAAUGUCCCCAGGUGUCACCCAGGUGUGUUUGGGUGUGUUCAGGUGUGUCCCAGGUGUGUUUGGGUGUGUCUCAGGUGUGUUUGGGUGUGUCCCACACUCACCUUGCAGGUGUCCCCGCCCCCGCCCAGGUGUCCGGCACACACCAUGGCCCAUCCCAGCUGUACCCAGCUGUACCCAGGUGUAUCCCAGGUGUAACUCAGGUAUAUCCCAGGUGUGUUUGGGUGUGUCCCAGGUGUACCCAGGUGUGUUUGGGUGUGUCCCAGGUGUAUCAGUCUCACCUUGCAGGUGUCCCCGCCCCCGCCCAGGUGUCCGGCACACACCAUGGCCCAUCCCAGCUGUACCC
This 690-nucleotide long non-coding RNA is filed under the name Zonotrichia albicollis (white-throated sparrow). Its description in RNAcentral is "lncRNA (ENSZALG00000001777.1)". The record is from RNAcentral. Lineage: Eukaryota; Metazoa; Chordata; Aves; Passeriformes; Passerellidae.